Molecule: long non-coding RNA, 1782 nt
Filed under: Salmo salar (Atlantic salmon)
Lineage: Eukaryota; Metazoa; Chordata; Actinopteri; Salmoniformes; Salmonidae
Description: lncRNA (ENSSSAG00000102868.1)
Source: RNAcentral
CACUCUUAACUGCUAGGCUACCUGCUGCCCCCAUGACUGUGACUGAAUAACUGUACUUUGUCCUGAGUACAAAGUUCAAAGUAAUGGAACAGGCAUUAUUAGGACAGACUGCUUGAUAGUUUGCACUACAGAGGAAGAUGUUUGUUUGCUCAGCUGUUACUGUACCUUCACAGUGAAAGUAGCCUUACUUACAGUAGUGCAACACUUUUUCUAUUACUGAUGAGCUUUGGAAGGCACGUGUGUAGUAACAUCAUGUUCCCUUUGCAUCCUUGUGUGUAUAUGUCUAAUAUAUUUAAUGUGGGUUUUUUUUCAGUCUGAUAUAUUAGCUAGUUCCUUCUGGUGGACCAAGGGGCAUGAAUGUGUGCUCUGUGGGAUAGAUAAACACAUGUGAAUUCUCUAUUUACAGCCUGACAAUCUGGUACAAUUGGAAUUAACACCGGUUUCUGUGUGAUAUUCAUUUUUUGUCUGUGUUGCUGAUAUUGGUUAAAACAGGUAUUUUUUGUCUGUUGCUGAUAUUGGUUAAAACAGGUAUUUUUUUUUCAGUGACUUUCAUGAAUUUAUGCUUCCAGUAUACAGUACAUGCGUGACUACAGUACAUGAAACAGAUUGUUGGUAGUUCACCAUUACUGAGUUAGAAAUGUAAAAGUGCAUUAAAAACAGUGGUGGAAAAAGUACCAAAUUGUCAUACUUGAGUAAAAAUACCUUAAUAGAAAAUGACUCAAGUGAAAGUCACCCAGUAAAAUACUACUUGAGUAAAAGUAUUUGGUUUUUUAAAAUACUUCAGUAUGAAAAGUAAAUGUAAUUUCUUAAAUAUACUUAAAUAUCAAAAGUGAAAGAAUUAAUCAUUUCAAAUGAAUUAUAUUAAGCAACCCAGGCGACACCAUUUUCUUGUUUUAAUUUACGGAUAGCCAGGGGCACAUUCCAACACUCUGACAUUGUUUACAAAAUAAGCAUGUGUUUAGUGAGUCCGCCAGAUCAGAAGUAGGAUGACCUCUUGAUAAGUGCUUGAAUUGGACCAUUUUCCUGUUCUGCUAAGCAUUCAAAAUGUAACGAGUUCUUUUGGGUGUCAGGGAAAAUGUAUGGGGUAAGAAGUACAUUAUUGUCUUUAGGAAUGUAGUGAAGUAAAAGUUGGAAAAUAUAAAUGUUAAAGUACAGACCCCAAAAAACUACUUUAGUACUUUAAAAUAUUUUUACUUAAGUACUUUACACCACUGAUUAAAAGGAUGCUAUUGAACUAUGGUAUGGGUAAUUUUGUUUAAUUCCUUGGGGUCCCACAAUGGCUGGAAGUCUAUGGGUAUCUACUAACAUGCUUUCAGAUACCCAUAGACUUCCAGUCAUUGUGCUGACGCUAGUUAGCGUUAGCAUUUGCUAGCAAACUAACUUCCUUCAUACUGGACACGGAUACAUAAAAAUGGUAUCCACAAGUUCAUCUGGCUCUGGGGAAGUAGAUAAAUGGCCUUAUUGCCAAAAUCCGGAACCAUCCCUUUAAAGUAACUUACUCUCAUCAAGUAUGAAGAUCGUUUUCCUACUUUUACCUUUGAUAAACACACUUGUUUUCUGUUUGGGGGAAAAAACUGUUCAGUUAGCAGUAUAUAAAUGUUUGAAAUGUUGUGAGAGGAAAUUGCCUCUAAUUGAGCUUUUGUUUUGAGAUGGUCAGUUGUAGAGCUACUGUAUGCUGAACAUAAGAAACUUUGGUUUCUAUAUUGAAAUACUACUGUAUGCAAUGUUUUGGGAAUGUCCACCUUGUGAUUGUACCACUUUCUGGUGUGCUAUCACUUUUUC